UACAGAGGUGGCAAGCGUUGUUCGGAAUUACUGGGCGUAAAGGGCGCGUAGGCGGCCUUCUAAGUCGAACGUGAAAUCCCCGGGCUCAACCCGGGAACUGCGUCCGAUACUGGAAGGCUUGAAUUCGGGAGAGGGAUGCGGAAUUCCAGGUGUAGCGGUGAAAUGCGUAGAUAUCUGGAGGAACACCGGUGGCGAAGGCGGCAUCCUGGACCGGCAUUGACGCUGAGGCGCGAAAGCCAGGGGAGCAAACGGG
This 253-nucleotide ribosomal RNA is filed under the name uncultured bacterium. Its description in RNAcentral is "partial 16S ribosomal RNA". It matches the Rfam family "Bacterial small subunit ribosomal RNA", at positions 524 to 776 of the family's 1533-position model. The record is from RNAcentral.